RNAcentral lists this ribosomal RNA (253 nucleotides) under uncultured bacterium. RNAcentral's name for it is "partial 16S ribosomal RNA". It matches the Rfam family "Bacterial small subunit ribosomal RNA", at positions 524 to 776 of the family's 1533-position model. The record is from RNAcentral.
UACGUAGGGGGCUAGCGUUGUCCGGAAUCAUUGGGCGUAAAGCGCGCGUAGGCGGCCCGGUAAGUCCGCUGUGAAAGUCAGAGGCUCAACCUUUGAAUGUCAGCGGAUACUGCCGGGCUAGAGUCCGGAAGAGGCGAGUGGAAUUCCUGGUGUAGCGGUGGAAUGCGCAGAUAUCAGGAGGAACACCGAUAGCGAAGGCAGCUCGCUGGGACGGUACUGACGCUAAGGCGCGAAAGCGUGGGGAGCGAACAGG